This 484-nucleotide ribosomal RNA is filed under the name uncultured bacterium. Its description in RNAcentral is "partial 16S ribosomal RNA". It matches the Rfam family "Bacterial small subunit ribosomal RNA", at positions 29 to 523 of the family's 1533-position model. The record is from RNAcentral.
AAUGAACGUUGGCGGCGUGGAUUAGGCAUGCAAGUCGUACGGGUCGGUGUAGCAAUACAACGGCAAGUGGCGAAAGGGAGAGUAACACGUAGAUACCUACCCUCUGGUCGGGGAUACCGCGGCAUAACCGCAAGUAAUACCCGAUAAAAUCUCCGGAUCAAAGGUGUGAUUCCGCCGGAGGAGGGGUCUGCGUUCUAUCAGCUUGUUGGUGAGGUAAUGGCUCACCAAGGCUAAGACGGAUACGGGGUGUGAGAGCAUGCCCCCGCUCACUGGGACUGAGACCCGGCCCAGACACCUACGGGUGGCUGCAGUCGAGAAUCGUCGGCAAUGGGGGCAAGCCUGACCGAGCGACGCCGCGUGCGGGAUGAAGGCCGUCGGGUUGUAAACCGCUGUCGAGGGGAAUGAAGUGUAGGUGGGUACUCCCAUCUAUUUGACAGAUCCCUGGAGGAAGCAUGGGCUAAGUUCGUGCCAGCAGCCGCCGUAA